UUCCCUGUGGCUCAGUUGGUAGAGCAUGGUGUGUGCAACGCCAGGGUUGUGGGUUCAAUUCCCACGGGGGGAC
Molecule: transfer RNA, 73 nt
Filed under: Salmo salar (Atlantic salmon)
Lineage: Eukaryota; Metazoa; Chordata; Actinopteri; Salmoniformes; Salmonidae
Rfam family: tRNA
About the family: Transfer RNA (tRNA) molecules are approximately 80 nucleotides in length. Their secondary structure includes four short double-helical elements and three loops (D, anti-codon, and T loops).
Source: Rfam by way of RNAcentral